UGGGGAAUUUUGGACAAUGGGGGCAACCCUGAUCCAGCAAUGCCGCGUGUGUGAGGAAGGCCUUCGGGUUGUAAAGCACUUUUGUCCGGAAAGAAAACGCCGUGGUUAAUACCCGUGGCGGAUGACGGUACCGGAAGAAUAAGCACCGGCUAACUACGUGCCAGCAGCCGCGGUAAUACGUAGGGUGCAAGCGUUAAUCGGAAUUACUGGGCGUAAAGCGUGCGCAGGCGGUCCGCUAAGACAGAUGUGAAAUCCCCGGGCUUAACCUGGGAACUGCAUUUGUGACUGGCGGGCUAGAGUAUGGCAGAGGGGGGUAGAAUUCCACGUGUAGCAGCGAAAUGCGUAGAGAUGUGGAGGAAUACCGAUGGCGAAGGCAGCCCCCUGGGCCAAUACUGACGCUCAUGCACGAAAGCGUGGGGGAGCAAACAGGAUUAGAUACCCUGGUAGUCCACGCCCUAAACGAUGUCAACUAGUUGUCGGGUCUUCAUUGACUUGGUAACGUAGCUAACGCGUGAAGUUGACCGCCUGGGGAGUACGGUCGCAAGAUUAAAACUCAAA
Molecule: ribosomal RNA, 558 nt
Filed under: uncultured bacterium
Lineage: Bacteria
Description: partial 16S ribosomal RNA
Rfam family: Bacterial small subunit ribosomal RNA
Source: RNAcentral